RNAcentral lists this ribosomal RNA (497 nucleotides) under uncultured bacterium. Its description in RNAcentral is "partial 16S ribosomal RNA". It matches the Rfam family "Bacterial small subunit ribosomal RNA", at positions 28 to 507 of the family's 1533-position model. The record is from RNAcentral.
GAUGAACGCUGGCGGCGUGCCUAAUACAUGCAAGUAGAACGCUGAAGCUUGGUGCUUGCACCGAGCGGAUGAGUUGCGAACGGGUGAGUAACGCGUAGGUAACCUGCCUGGUAGCGGGGGAUAACUAUUGGAAACGAUAGCUAAUACCGCAUGACAACAGUUAUUGCAUGAUAACUGUUUAAAAGGGGCAAUUGCUCCACUACCAGAUGGACCUGCGUUGUAUUAGCUAGUUGGUGAGGUAACGGCUCACCAAGGCGACGAUACAUAGCCGACCUGAGAGGGUGAUCGGCCACACUGGGACUGAGACACGGCCCAGACUCCUACGGGAGGCAGCAGUAGGGAAUCUUCGGCAAUGGACGGAAGUCUGACCGAGCAACGCCGCGUGAGUGAAGAAGGUUUUCGGAUCGUAAAGCUCUGUUGUAAGAGAAGAACGAGUGUGAGAGUGGAAAGUUCACACUGUGACGGUAUCUUACCAGAAAGAGACGGCUAACUACGUG